GAUGAACGCUAGCUACAGGCUUAACACAUGCAAGUCGAGGGGCAGCAUGAACUUAGCUUGCUAAGUUUGAUGGCGACCGGCGCACGGGUGAGUAACACGUAUCCAACCUGCCGAUGACUCGGGGAUAGCCUUUCGAAAGAAAGAUUAAUACCCGAUGGCAUAAUUCUUCCGCAUGGUAGAAUUAUUAAAGAAUUUCGGUCAUCGAUGGGGAUGCGUUCCAUUAGGUUGUUGGCGGGGUAACGGCCCACCAAGCCUUCGAUGGAUAGGGGUUCUGAGAGGAAGGUCCCCCACAUUGGAACUGAGACACGGUCCAAACUCCUACGGGAGGCAGCAGUGAGGAAUAUUGGUCAAUGGACGAGAGUCUGAACCAGCCAAGUAGCGUGAAGGAUGACUGCCCUAUGGGUUGUAAACUUCUUUUAUACGGGAAUAAAGUGAGGCACGUGUGCCUUUUUGUAUGUACCGUAUGAAUAAGGAUCGGCUAACUCCGUGCCAGCAGCCGCGGUAAUACGGAGGAUCCGAGCGUUAUCCGGAUUUAUUGGGUUUAAAGGGAGCGUAGGCGGACGCUUAAGUCAGUUGUGAAAGUUUGCGGCUCAACCGUAAAAUUGCAGUUGAUACUGGGUGUCUUGAGUACAGUAGAGGCAGGCGGAAUUCGU
Molecule: ribosomal RNA, 653 nt
Filed under: uncultured Bacteroidales bacterium
Lineage: Bacteria; Pseudomonadati; Bacteroidota; Bacteroidia; Bacteroidales
Description: bacterial SSU rRNA
Rfam family: Bacterial small subunit ribosomal RNA
Source: RNAcentral